CCUGAUGGCUCAGUGGUAAAGAAUCUGCCUGCAAUGCAGGAGAGCCGGGUUUGAUCCCUGGGUCAGGA
Molecule: transfer RNA, 68 nt
Filed under: Bos taurus (domestic cattle)
Lineage: Eukaryota; Metazoa; Chordata; Mammalia; Artiodactyla; Bovidae
Also listed under: 4 other names
Rfam family: tRNA
About the family: Transfer RNA (tRNA) molecules are approximately 80 nucleotides in length. Their secondary structure includes four short double-helical elements and three loops (D, anti-codon, and T loops).
Source: Rfam by way of RNAcentral